AACGUAGGAGACAAACGUUAUCCGGAGUUACUGGGCGUAAAGGGCGUGUAGGUGGUUUCGUAAGUCUGGCGUGAAAUUUCUCGGCUUAACCGAGGCAGGUCGUCGGAUACUGCGGAACUUGAGGACGGUAGAGGCGUGUGGAAUUCCGGGUGUAGUGGUGAAAUGCGUAGAGAUCAGGAGGAACACCUGUGGCGAAAGCGGCUCACUGGACCACAACUGACGCUGAGGCGCGAAAGCUAGGGGAGCAAACAGG
Molecule: ribosomal RNA, 253 nt
Filed under: uncultured bacterium
Lineage: Bacteria
Description: partial 16S ribosomal RNA
Rfam family: Bacterial small subunit ribosomal RNA
Source: RNAcentral